Molecule: ribosomal RNA, 385 nt
Filed under: uncultured bacterium
Lineage: Bacteria
Description: bacterial SSU rRNA
Rfam family: Bacterial small subunit ribosomal RNA
Source: RNAcentral
UAUCUACCCUUUGGCCUGGAAUAACACGAGGAAACUUGUGCUAAUACCGGAUAAGUCUUUACGGAGAAAGCUUUAUGCACCAUUUGAUGAGCCUGCACUUGAUUAGUUUGUUGGUGGGGUAAUGGCCUACCAAGACUGUGAUCAAUAGCUGGUUUGAGAGGAUGAUCAGCCACAUUGGGACUGAGACACGGCCCAAACUCCUACGGGAGGCAGCAGUGGGGAAUCUUGCACAAUGGAGGAAACUCUGAUGCAGCGAUGCCGCGUGAGUGAAGAAGGCCUUUGGGUUGUAAAGCUCUUUCGUCGGGGAAGAAAAUGACUGUACCCGAAUAAGAAGGUCCGGCUAACUUCGUGCCAGCAGCCGCGGUAAUACGAAGGGACCUAGCGU